GGCUAGUCUGAUGGUAAUGGGUUUAUCAGAACUUAUUAACAUUAGUGUCACUAAAGUUGGUAUUCAACCCCCCACUGCUAAAUUUGACUGGCAAAA
Molecule: Y RNA, 96 nt
Filed under: Microcebus murinus (gray mouse lemur)
Lineage: Eukaryota; Metazoa; Chordata; Mammalia; Primates; Cheirogaleidae
Description: Y RNA (ENSMICG00000046274.1)
Rfam family: Y RNA
About the family: Y RNAs are components of the Ro ribonucleoprotein particle (Ro RNP), in association with Ro60 and La proteins. The Y RNAs and Ro60 and La proteins are well conserved, but the function of the Ro RNP is not known.
Source: Rfam by way of RNAcentral